This is a long non-coding RNA of Anguilla anguilla (European eel), 467 nucleotides long. RefSeq lists it as uncharacterized. The record is from RefSeq and is a predicted model, not a curated record. NCBI's taxonomy places the organism in Eukaryota, Metazoa, Chordata, Actinopteri, Anguilliformes, Anguillidae. The transcript is spliced from 3 exons.
AUGCGGGAGACUCUUUAGCGGCUCUCGACAGCGAGAGGUGCGAUGUGAAAUGGCCGGCUGGGUUAUCGGCUCCCGAAGCGGUGGGAGCAUGAGAAACUGGGGCGCGGGGAUGCGUGAGAGCUUCUGGGCCUCCGCCAGAGCGGCUCCGACAGCCGUCCGGCUCGACCUUCACGGGGCGGAAGCAUGGCUGCCUUUUAACACACUCAUCCUACUGUGCAACGAGGAGGAGCUACAGCACACGUAUGAAGUCACGGAGACCUAACUUGGGAGAGUCUUCAACGAACGCGUCGUGGGGGCGGACAUGUCGGCUCUGCAAGGUUGGUGAGCUUCUAUACCAUUGUUGCUGCGGGAACAAGGCUGUGGGAUUUCCUCUGGCCCGAGUAUCACAGCAAUCAGAGCUGAGGAAAGGGACACAGCUGGAGAAGGAGAGGUGGCCUUGGGCAGGGAGGGAGGUAGAGAGAGACAGA